Molecule: long non-coding RNA, 515 nt
Organism: Engraulis encrasicolus (European anchovy)
Lineage: Eukaryota; Metazoa; Chordata; Actinopteri; Clupeiformes; Engraulidae
Exons: 3
Source: RefSeq, a predicted model, not a curated record
CCAACUCUGCACAGGAGACGAACAUCUUGGGAGGUUAUGAGAAGCAAACUCUAGUGACAAGCACUCAUUCCAUUUCCAUCUGAUUGAGACAGCUCCCCAACUCAUGAAGGACUUUAAAGCCAAUGCUUGACUUCAGGGGAAUAUUAUUCUCUGGUGCAAUGACGGGUCUCCACAGGUAGGCUAGUUUACCUGUGGAGCGUUCAUCACACAGAAGAGAAAGAGGGCCAAUUUUUACUAACAAUGUUGGAGUGCUGGAGAACAUCUGACUUGGACCUCCUUGAACCAACAGCCAGAAUUCACAACGCUUUCAGUAUGUGUGUCGGCCCAAAGCCUCCGUCAACUGCUACACUUUGACCUUGACCUUCUUGAGCUUUUUCGCCCACAAACUCAGGGGCAUGUGCAUGUACAUUUCAGUGUUUGGACUUGUGAGAGGUCGGAUAAAAUGAACUAAUAAAUGAAUAAAUAAAUAAAAAAUACAUUUAAAAAAGAGUUAACCUACCUGGUUUCCCGGGAAA